AACGAACGCUGGCGGCGCGUCUUAAGCAUGCAAGUCGACGGCAAGAGAGGAGCUUGCUUCUCUCCUAGAGUGGCGGACUGGUGAGGAACGCGUGGGUAAUCUACCCUUAAGAUGGGGAUAGCCGCUAGAAAUAGCGGGUAAUACCGAAUAGACUUAUAGCUGAGAAAGAAGUGAUAAGAAAAGGAAGCUAAGGCUUCGCUUAAGGAUGAGCCUGCGUCCCAUUAGCUAGUUGGUAAGGUAACGGCCUACCAAGGCGACGAUGGGUAUCCGGCCUGAGAGGGUGAACGGACACAUUGGGACUGAGAUACGGCCCAAACUCCUACGGGAGGCAGCAGCUAAGAAUAUUCCGCAAUGGACGGAAGUCUGACGGAGCGACACCGCGUGGAUGAAGAAGGCUGAAAAGUUGUAAAUUCUUUUGCUGAUGAAGAAUAAAGAUAAGAGGGAAUGCUUAUCAGAUGACGGUAGUCGGCGAAUAAGCCCCG
RNAcentral lists this ribosomal RNA (482 nucleotides) under Treponema sp. oral taxon 232. RNAcentral describes it as "bacterial SSU rRNA". It matches the Rfam family "Bacterial small subunit ribosomal RNA", at positions 30 to 495 of the family's 1533-position model. The record is from RNAcentral. Lineage: Bacteria; Pseudomonadati; Spirochaetota; Spirochaetia; Treponematales; Treponemataceae.